AUGAGAGUAAAUACCGAUACUUGGUACUACAGCUCUCGUCGUUGCGGUCGCAUCUGUGUAGACAGUGGUACUGGACCUGGAAGACAUUUGUUUUGAAAUCCUCUUUCUCCAAGAAAUUCGCAGAUAGGAUGUAUUGAAGGAGGGUAAAAACACAAAAAAACAGGGAAUGAUGUCCACAUGAAGCCAACGAAUGGAGCACCCUGACCGAGCUAGAAGAAACCAUGGGAGCUGAGUGGACAUACAGACGUAGAUCGUCAAGUAUAGUACAAAGCUAGGACCAAAACACUCCUCCAAGAUCAAACAAAACGUUUGAGGGGUGAAUGUUAUUUAGUAAGAUAAACAGCCUGUUUCUUGAGUUUUAGCCAGGGAUCGUUUGUUCCUAACCACGCGGCAACCAAACUUUAAGAUAAUAUAAUGCUGUCGUCCAUUCUGGUGUCUGGCUAUCUGCAGUGGUAAAAGAAUAUGCCAAAAAAAAGGAAUUUUUUCAGUUUACAGUGAUACCUGCGCAUUUUGUGCUGCUGUCUUUGGCAUCUGGGAUUACAUCUGUCUCCCACUUUAUCUGUGAUAAUCUCUACAACUGUCCAUGUAGGAUACAGCUAACAGUAGAGCUGAGCUGAACUGGACGUUGUGUAUUUAAUAUGAACAUGCAUAUUCAGAAAUGUCAAGAUGCUGUGUAGGUUAAAUUCGGUGGAGCGGUGAUGUUUACCAUACAAUGGUGAGACUCCUCCGGUGCUUGCCUGUAAUUUAAACAAAAUGAUGCUCUGGGGUGAAUUUCUAUCGAUCAGUUAUCAGCUUUUUUCAUCAUUAUACAAAGCCUUUACGUAUGCUUUUACACGAUUAAUAACACUUAUGAUCGGUCGUAAUAGUCUGUGAACACCUGAAUGACAUUUUCUCACUGUAUAGAUAUAAGGCUGAUAUGGAGAUGAUGCUGUCUUCUCUACAGCAUAGGUCGCAUACUGUAGGUUAUAAAUACAGGUCCUGGUUUCAUGAAGCGCAUUAAUAGCUAAGAAACUACGAUGACAACGAUGACAACGUAUGUCAUAGAGAUAACAGUUGCAUUUAUUGCUGUUGGCUUCUUAACACUAAGUAUACUUCUAGAACUUGACAUAUCAAUUGGGCAUAUCGACUGAAUAGUAUGUGAACAUCUCUCUAUAAUCAAACACGUCAUUCUCGGAAACAGAGUAGAGAGUCUGAUGUCUGCAUAGAUAUUGUCCACAUUAUUUCUUCCUCAGAUUCGGUAAUUUCAGUAGGUUUUAUAUUAUCCAUGAUCAUGAAAAUAACAAAUGUUUGGAAAGCUCGUCAUGGAAGCUUUGGUGCAACUGUAGAGAAAAUGUGUUCAUCAACAAUCAGUAAAUCCAGUCAGAUUAUUAUUUACAUAGCUUGCUUUUUAGAUAUAUAGUCAAUGAAGAAAAAGAGAUGAAAAACGGAGAUAAAUGUGUUGGUGUUUGGAUUUUUAGAGUACUUUUAACAUUACAAAUUUUCUCUUGUGUUUGAGUGAUUUUUCUGUGCAGUUCAAAGAUAUUAUGGCAAACGAUAUUUCAUGCAUGUAUUUAUAUUCAACUGUUUUGGCACCGCUUUACAUGUCCAAUAUUCGUGUAAAGCACGAAAUAAUGACACGCGCAUUGCAGCAACUAUACGUAUGUGAUCGAGUUUGACUCUUUUCAUAUUGCACAUGUUAUCAUCAGUUUUCGGUGUAUAAAUUCUGAAUAGGUUAACUGGCCUCUGUGGCUCAGUUGGUUAGCCCGCUAGCGCAGCGUAAUGACCCAGGAGUCUCUCACCAGUGCGGUCGCUGUGAGUUCAAGUUCAGCUCAUGCUGGCUUCAUCUCCGGCCGUAUGUUGGAAUGUCUUUCAGCAACCUGCGGAUGGUCGUGGGUUUUCACUGGGCUCUGCCCGGUUUCUUUCCAUCAUAAUGCUGUCCCGCCGUCGUAUAAGUGAAAUAUUCUUGAGUACGGCGUAAAACACCAAUCAAAUAAAUAAAUAUAUAACUGAAUAGUUUAAUCCUUGGUGACUAUUGUGUGAAAGUUGUUUAUUUGCCUUAGAUGUGUAGAUAAUAAAUCAUAUAAAAGAAAUAA
Long non-coding RNA from Liolophura sinensis, 2072 nucleotides. RefSeq lists it as uncharacterized. The transcript has 2 exons. NCBI's taxonomy places the organism in Eukaryota, Metazoa, Mollusca, Polyplacophora, Chitonida, Chitonidae. The record is from RefSeq and is a predicted model, not a curated record.